UGUGAAUCAUCUGAAAUCCCCAGAGUUCCAAUGUCCGUGGUGAUGCCUGCAGUUGGCCACAGAGCAGUUUCAGGGGGAGAGUAUAAAGAACCCCAGAUAACAGCCUAGGGGCUAAGAAGAGACAGAUCGGAGCUCCCGGCCAGGCAGCAGAGCCAAGAUACCAUGGACGUGCAAAGCCAACCCCAGUUGCAGCAGAGGAAUGGCUGUUCACCAGUCCAGGUAGCUCUUCCCACCAAGGCUUGCGAUGCGACCUUCCAAGAGGUCACCCACCUCCACCCCUUCCUCAUCGGCCCAGCAACUGACACCAGAGUGUCCCUGACCAUCAGCAACGGCCCGAAAACCCUGCAACUGGAAGCCGAUCUCCAUGACACGGUCGAUCAGAUCAAGAAGCGGAUCAUGCAGGAGAGGAAAUUUGGUGGCUUGGGGUCCAUCAGCCUGUUGUAUGGGAAUCGGGAACUGCAGGGCUCGGAGAUCCUGGGGCAGCAGAAUGUGAAGAACCAGGCCACGCUGUUCAUCGUCCACAGAUGCAAUGGGGGAUAAAUGGGAUUAAAGAGUCACAAGGAGAAGCAUGCGUUAGACAGAACGCAUGCUAAUUGCUUGUUUCUACUUAUCGAUCUAUCUGCUUGCUAUGCACAGGCACCAGCUGCCUUGGUAACAAAUCCAAAUGAUCAUUUUUGCUUCAUAAAGUAUCAUUUCCAUGCUGUAAAAGCUACCUGCUUGAGUGGGCUAAAGGAUAUCAGAGGGCUAAGGGAUGAAAGGCUGGAACUGAAUUUUUGUAGACAACUGGCUGAGCCAGUUUCUUUAGUUAAUUUUUCUUACUGAAAUCCAAAUAAAUCUAAUAAAUGUGAAAUGCUAGACUGCCCG
This 864-nucleotide long non-coding RNA is filed under the name Chrysemys picta bellii (western painted turtle). RNAcentral's name for it is "lncRNA (ENSCPBG00000027030.1)". Lineage: Eukaryota; Metazoa; Chordata; Testudines; Emydidae. The record is from RNAcentral.